GUCUGACCUGCCCACUGAAUAUUGUUUGAAGGGCCGCAGUAUUUUGACUGUGCAAAGGUAGCAUAAUCAUUAGUCUUUUAAUUGAAGGCUGGCAUGAAUGGUUGGAUGAGAUACAAGCUGUGUCAUAAAAAUUAAUAUUUGAAUUUACCCUUUUAGUCAAAAGGCUAAAAUAAUCUUAAAAGACGAGAAGACCCUAUAGAGCUUUAUAUAAUUAAUAUUUAAAUUAUUAAGAUUUUUAAAAUUUAAUUAUUAAAUUGUAUUUUGUUGGGGUGACAAUAAAAUUUAUAAAACUUUUAUUUUUGUUUAACAUUAAUUUAUGAUUAAAUGAUCCAGUUUUAUUGAUUAUAAAUUUAAGUUACCUUAGGGAUAACAGCGUAAUUUUUUUUGAGAGUUCUUAUCGACAAAAAAGAUUGCGACCUCGAUGUUGGAUUAAGAGUAAUUUUGGGUGUAGAAGUUCAAAGUUUAAGUCUGUUCGACUUUUAAAUUCUUACAU
This 493-nucleotide ribosomal RNA is filed under the name Simulium caudisclerum. Its description in RNAcentral is "partial 16S ribosomal RNA". It matches the Rfam family "Bacterial large subunit ribosomal RNA", at positions 1852 to 2601 of the family's 2925-position model. Lineage: Eukaryota; Metazoa; Arthropoda; Insecta; Diptera; Simuliidae. The record is from RNAcentral.